This 566-nucleotide small RNA is filed under the name Pongo abelii (Sumatran orangutan). Its description in RNAcentral is "retained intron". The record is from RNAcentral. Lineage: Eukaryota; Metazoa; Chordata; Mammalia; Primates; Hominidae.
GAAUUACCUGCAUCCCUCUCUCUUUGCCUCCAAGAAGUGUAACCGACUUGAAGAGCUGAUGAAGCCCUUGAAGGUAGUGGACCCAGAUCAUCCCCUCGCAGCGCUUGUUCGUAAGGCACAGGCUGACAGUUCCACUCCCACCCCACACAACGCAGACGGUGCGCCUGUGCAGCCCUCCCAGGUGGAGUACACGGCAGACUCGACCGUGGCAGCCAUGUAUUACAGCUACUAUAUGCUACCGGACGGCACUUACUGCCUGGCGCCGCCCCCUCCCGGAAUCGAUGUGGCUACUUACUACAGCACCCUUCCUGCUGGCGUGACCGUGUCUGACUCCCCUGGAGUGACAACCACUGCCCCACCACCUCCUGGGACCACACCACCACCGCCCCCAACCACGGCGGAGACUAGCAGCGGGGCCACCUCCACAACCACCACCACAAGGUAGGUGCAGCAUCCACCGCCGCCUGCUGUGUGAGUCACUCAGCACUGCAGUCACUGGGGCCGUCUGUGUCUCCAUGGGGGGCUUGUAAUCUAGAUCACAUACGGGGUCCCCAUUAUCUGAAUAG